GAUGAACGCUAGCGGCAUGCUUUACACAUGCAAGUCGAACGGCAGCACGGGUGCUUGCACCUGGUGGCGAGUGGCGGACGGGUGAGUAAUGCAUCGGAACGUGUCCUAAAGUGGGGGAUAACGCAUCGAAAGAUGUGCUAAUACCGCAUAUUCUCUGAGGAGGAAAGUAGGGGAUCGAAAGACCUUAUGCUUUUGGAGCGGCCGAUGUCUGAUUAGCUAGUUGGUAGGGUAAUGGCUUACCAAGGCGACGAUCAGUAGUUGGUCUGAGAGGACGACCAGCCACACUGGGACUGAGACACGGCCCAGACUCCUACGGGAGGCAGCAGUGGGGAAUUUUGGACAACGGGCGCAAGCCUGAUCCAGCAAUGCCGCGUGAGUGAAGAAGGCCUCGGUUGUAAAGCUCUUUCAGUUGAAAAGAAAAAGACCGUAGACUAAUAAUACAUGGUUCAUGACGGUAUCAACAGAAGAAGACACCGGCUAACUACGUAGCCAG
RNAcentral lists this ribosomal RNA (493 nucleotides) under uncultured bacterium. Its description in RNAcentral is "bacterial SSU rRNA". It matches the Rfam family "Bacterial small subunit ribosomal RNA", at positions 28 to 511 of the family's 1533-position model. The record is from RNAcentral.